This 253-nucleotide ribosomal RNA is filed under the name uncultured bacterium. Its description in RNAcentral is "partial 16S ribosomal RNA". It matches the Rfam family "Bacterial small subunit ribosomal RNA", at positions 524 to 776 of the family's 1533-position model. The record is from RNAcentral.
GACGAGCCACACAAACGUUAUUCGGAAUUACUGGGCUUAAAGGGUGCGUAGGCGGCGUGGAAAGUUGGGUGUGAAAGCCCUCGGCUCAACCGAGGAAUUGCGCCCAAAACUUCCAUGCUUGAGGAAGAUAGAGGUGAGCGGAACUCAGGGUGGAGCGGUGAAAUGCGUUGAUAUCCUGAGGAACACCGGUGGCGAAAGCGGCUCACUGGAUCUUUUCUGACGCUGAGGCACGAAAGCUAGGGUAGCGAACGGG